AAAACUCUAAGCGGUGGAUCACUCGGCUCAUGGGUCGAUGAAGAACGCAGCAAACUGUGCGUCAUCGUGUGAACUGCAGGACACAUGAACAUCGACAUUUUGAACGCAUAUCGCAGUCCAUGCUGUUAUGUACUUUAAUUAAUUUUAAAGUGCUGCUUGGACUACAUAUGGUUGAGGGUUGUAAGACUAUGCAAAUAAGUUGUUCAUAAAUUUCAUUUCAUGAUUUUUAUAAGCACAUGGUAUAUUAUUGGGUAUAAUAAUUAUUAAUUGUUAUAUUCAUAAUAUUAAAAAUUAUAUGAAAAACAUUAUUCUCACAUUGUUGUAAAUAUUUGAAUGUGAAAACGAAGAGAAAUAUUUUCUUUUUUUUAAAUCAAAUAAUACUGAGAAAUGUCUAGCAUAAAAAAUGUGAAAAUAUUUUUCAUCUAGAAUUGUCUCUUAUUAAUGAUGCAAAAAUCGAAAAUGUUGCUAAUGUUAUUAUUCUUCGUUUGGUUUGUUAAAAAUAUAACAAAUUUAAAUAUAUAAUGUUUUCUCUAUAUAAAAAGAAUUAAUGCUAAUAAAUGUUUUAUACAACCUCAACUCAUAUGGGACUACCCCCUGAAUUUAAGCAUAUUAAUUAGGGGAGGAAAAGAAACUAACAAGGAUUUUCUUAGUAGCGGCGAGCGAAAAGAAUCAGUUCAGCACUAAGUCACUUUGUCUAUAUGGCAAUGUGAGAUGCAGUGUAUGGAGCGUCAAUAUUCUAGUAUGAGAAAUUAACGAUUUAAGUCCUUCUUAAAUGAGGCAUUUACCCAUAGAGGGUGCCAGGCCCGUAUAACGUUAAUGAUUACUAGAUGAUGUUCCAAAGAGUCGUGUUGCUUGAUAGUGCAGCACUAGUGGGUGGUAAACUCCAUCUAAACUAAUAUAACCAUGAGACCGAUAGUAAACAAGUACCGUGAGGGAAAGUUGAAAAGAACUCUGAAUAGAGAGUUAAACAGUACGUGAAACUGCUUAGAGGUUAAGCCCGAUGAACCUGAAUAUCCGUUAUGGAAAAUUCAUCAUUAGACUUGUAGUAUUUAAACAAUAUUAUGAUAAUAGUGUGCAUUUUUUCCAUAUAAGGACAUUGUAAUCUAUUAACAUAACUAAAUUUAUCAUAAAAUAUGGCUUAUAGUUUAUUCAAAUUAUUAUGCUUGCAUUUUAACAUAGAAUAAAUGUCAUUAAUUUGAUAAAGUGCUGAUAGAUUUAUAUGACUACAGUGCGUUAAUUUUUCGGAAUUAUAUAAUGGCAUAAUUAUCAUUGAUUUUUGUGUUUAUUAUAUGCACUUGUACGAUUAACAAUGCGAAAGAUUCAGGAUACCUUCGGGACCCGUCUUGAAACACGGACCAAGGAGUCUAACAUAUGUGCAAGUUAUUGGGAUAUAAACCUAAUAGCGUAAUUAACUUGACUAAUAAUGGGAUUAGUUUUUUAACUAUUUAUAGCUAAUUAACACAAUCCCGGGGCGUUCUAUAUAGUUAUGUAUAAUAAUAUUUAUAUUAUUUAUGCCUCUAACUGGAACGUACCUUGAGCAGAUAUGCUGUGACCCGAAAGAUGGUGAACUAUACUUGAUCAGGUUGAAGUCAGGGGAAACCCUGAUGGAAGACCGAAACAGUUCUGACGUGCAAAUCGAUUGUCAGAAUUGAGUAUAGGGGCGAAAGACCAAUCGAACCAUCUAGUAGCUGGUUCCUUCCGAAGUUUCCCUCAGGAUAGCUGGUGCAUUUUAAUGUUAUAUAAAAUAAUCUUAUCUGGUAAAGCGAAUGAUUAGAGGCCUUAGGGUCGAAACGAUCUUAACCUAUUCUCAAACUUUAAAUGGGUAAGAACCUUAACUUUCUUGAUAUGAAGUUUAAGGUUAUGAUAUAAUGUGCCCAGUGGGCCACUUUUGGUAAGCAGAACUGGCGCUGUGGGAUGAACCAAACGUAAUGUUACGGUGCCCAAAUUAACAACUCAUGCAGAUACCAUGAAAGGCGUUGGUUGCUUAAAACAGCAGGACGGUGAUCAUGGAAGUCGAAAUCCGCUAAGGAGUGUGUAACAACUCACCUGCCGAAGCAACUAGCCCUUAAAAUGGAUGGCGCUUAAGUUGUAUACCUAUACAUUACCGCUAAAGUAGAUGAUUUAUAUUACUUGUAAUAUAAAUUUUGAAACUUUAGUGAGUAGGAAGGUACAAUGGUAUGCGUAGAAGUGUUUGGCGUAAGCCUGCAUGGAGCUGCCAUUGGUACAGAUCUUGGUGGUAGUAGCAAAUAAUCGAAUGAGACCUUGGAGGACUGAAGUGGAGAAGGGUUUCGUGUGAACAGUGGUUGAUCACGAGUUAGUCGGUCCUAAGUUCAAGGCGAAAGCCGAAAAUUUUCAAGUAAUAAAAUGACUAUAUAUUACAAAAAUGCCAAUUAAUAUACUUGAAUAAUUUUGAACGAAAGGGAAUACGGUUCCAAUUCCGUAACCUGUUGAGUAUCCGUUUGUUAUUAAAUAUGGGCCUCGUGCUCAUCCUGGCAACAGGAACGACCAUAAAGAAGCCGUCGAGAGAUAUCGGAAGAGUUUUCUUUUCUGUUUUAUAGCCGUACUACCAUGGAAGUCUUUCGCAGAGAGAUAUGGUAGAUGGGCUAGAAGAGCAUGACAUAUACUGUUGUGUCGAUAUUUUCUCCUCGGACCUUGAAAAUUUAUGGUGGGGAUACGCAAACUUCUCAACAGGCCGUACCAAUAUCCGCAGCUGGUCUCCAAGGUGAAGAGUCUCUAGUCGAUAGAAUAAUGUAGGUAAGGGAAGUCGGCAAAUUAGAUCCGUAACUUCGGGAUAAGGAUUGGCUCUGAAGAUUGAGAUAGUCGGGCUUGAUUGGGAAACAAUAACAUGGUUUAUGUGCUCGUUCUGGGUAAAUAGAGUUUCUAUCAUUUAUGUUAGUUGCUUGUUCCCCGGAUAGUUUAGUUACGUAGCCAAUUGUGGAACUUUCUUGCUAAAAUUUUUAAGAAUACUAGUUGGGUCAAACCAAUUAGUUCUUAUUAAUUAUAACGAUUAUCAAUUAACAAUCAAUUCAGAACUGGCACGGACUUGGGGAAUCCGACUGUCUAAUUAAAACAAAGCAUUGUGAUGGCCCUAGCGGGUGUUGACACAAUGUGAUUUCUGCCCAGUGCUCUGAAUGUCAAAGUGAAGAAAUUCAAGUAAGCGCGGGUGAGAAGAUGGAAGAUGGAGCUCUUUAUCAGGGUGUGGAUCCUUGGGAGCUCCGGGGUCUGGUUGUAUGCAGAAGGGGUGAAAUUCCGAAAUUCAUUAGUCAUGCAAUCAGAUCAAGUCGACUCGAAACCUCCUCGUGGUAUCUUCCGGGUACUAAGCAGUUAUCUGUUUAGUAGCAGAUUCGAGCGGCGAAGUGUUCUCUGGGGUUACCAGCCCCUUUGAACGUAUCCAUAUGGUAUCAAUGAUAAUACAGAGCCUCGGAGACCUACAUCUGUGGUAAUUAGCCUAGAUGACCAUAUUGGAACAAGUGCUGGAAAUAACCCGUCUACUACGGUUACCUGCACGAUAUGUGGAAGGCACUUUAGCAGCAAAAUAGGGCUAGGUGUCCACAUGUCACGUCUUCACAAAAACGAGUUUGAUGAACUUCGUCGGCGUGAAGACGUAAAUCUAAGAUGGAGUGAGGAAGAGAAGUGGAUGAUGGCGAGAAAGGAGUUCGAACUCGCAGCAAGUGGUAUCUUAAGGCAUGCCAAUAAGCAACUAGCGGAAUUUUUUACACACCGCAGCGUCGAAGCUAUCAAGAAAAUUCGACAGAGGGGUGACUAUAAGGCAAAAAUGGAACAGAUAAGAGGGCAAUCUGUUUCCACCCCAGAAGUUGCAGAUACAAGAACCACACAGCGCCGCCCUAGUAAUAGCGAGCAAGAACACCGA
Molecule: ribosomal RNA, 3871 nt
Filed under: Drosophila serrata
Lineage: Eukaryota; Metazoa; Arthropoda; Insecta; Diptera; Drosophilidae
Description: eukaryotic LSU rRNA
Rfam family: Eukaryotic large subunit ribosomal RNA (bases 568-3315)
Source: RNAcentral